Acanthosepion pharaonis is the source of this 100-nucleotide non-coding RNA. The record is from the annotation of a GenBank genome assembly. NCBI's taxonomy places the organism in Eukaryota, Metazoa, Mollusca, Cephalopoda, Sepiida, Sepiidae.
CACUGGAGCACUGGUUCUCAUAUGAUCACUGAAGUUAAGCAAUGUUGAUCCUGGUCAGUACCUACAUGAGUGACCACUUGGGAAUACCAGAUGCUGUAAG